RNAcentral lists this small nuclear RNA (335 nucleotides) under Erinaceus europaeus (western European hedgehog). RNAcentral describes it as "7SK RNA (ENSEEUG00000022072.1)". The stretch from base 1 to 262 matches the Rfam family "7SK RNA". From Rfam's summary of the family: 7SK was discovered as an abundant small nuclear RNA in the mid-70s but a possible function has only recently been suggested. Two independent studies have found that 7SK RNA binds the CDK9/cyclin T complex (known as elongation factor P-TEFb). The record is from RNAcentral. Lineage: Eukaryota; Metazoa; Chordata; Mammalia; Eulipotyphla; Erinaceidae.
GGACGAUCUGGUUGCGACAUCUGUCACCCCAUUGAUCGCCAGGGUUGAUUCGACUGAUCUGGCUGGCUAGGCAGAUCACCACUUCAUGUGAGUCCCUCCCUAAGCUGCAUGCUAGAUAGAAAAGGAUGGCCUUCCCUGAAUAGAGAUGGACUGGUCUUUGGUCAAGGGUAUCCGAGUAGCUGCGCUCCCCUGCUAGAACCUCCAAACAAGCUCUCAAGUAUAUAUGCAAGUUCAAGGUGAAAUGACACUAUGUGAGUGUUGUAAAUGGUGCUAAAUCCUGAUAAUAGUUGAAUCUGAAUGACAGGUAUAUGGAAAUGCUUAGUAUGUAUCUUUUU